AACGAACGCUGGCGGCAGGCCUAACACAUGCAAGUCGAACGCUGUAGCAAUACAGAGUGGCAGACGGGCGAGUAACGCGUGGGAGCCUUCCCAGUGGUGCGGAAUAGCUCAGGGAAACUUGAGGUAAUACCGCAUAAGCCCCUAGGGGAAAGAUUUAUCGCCAUUGGAUGGGCCCGCGUCGGAUUAGCUAGUUGGUGAGGUAAUGGCUCACCAAGGCAACGAUCCGAGCUGGUUUGAGAGAAUGACCAGCCACACUGGGACUGAGACACGGCCCAGACUCCUACGGGAGGCAGCAGUGGGGAAUCUUGCGCAAUGGGCGAAAGCCUGACGCAGCGACGCCGCGUGAGGGAUGACGGCCU
RNAcentral lists this ribosomal RNA (359 nucleotides) under uncultured bacterium. Its description in RNAcentral is "bacterial SSU rRNA". It matches the Rfam family "Bacterial small subunit ribosomal RNA", at positions 29 to 417 of the family's 1533-position model. The record is from RNAcentral.